RNAcentral lists this unclassified non-coding RNA (231 nucleotides) under plant metagenome. Its description in RNAcentral is "partial contains small subunit ribosomal RNA, internal transcribed spacer 1, and 5.8S ribosomal RNA". The stretch from base 1 to 54 matches the Rfam family "Eukaryotic small subunit ribosomal RNA", at positions 1778 to 1831 of the family's 1831-position model. The record is from RNAcentral.
GGGAGUAAAAGUCGUAACAAGGUCUCCGUUGGUGAACCAGCGGAGGGAUCAUUACUGGAAUCGCAAGAUCCCACAACCCUGUGAACCUACCGAAACGUUGCCUCGGCGGGUGCCCGGCCUCUGCGCCGGGCGCUGCGCCCGCCGGCGGCCCCCUACUCUGUCUCUGCAGCGUGGCAUCUCAGAGUCCCAGAAAACAAGUCAAAACUUUCAACAACGGAUCUCUUGGCUCUA